GUUUAAGAUUUUAUUACAAUCGUUAGAUUCUUUUUUUGUUGCAAAAUACAAGUUUAUCUUCUACAAUCAAGUGCCCAAUGGAUUCUUGAGUAAGAUAAUACAUAAUACAACAACAACUAUUAUAAAAAAGUAUCAGCAAGAGAUAUAUGGUGCUACAUAAAAGUAAAAAUAUGAUCAAGAAGAAGAAAAAUAAAUAAAAUUUACAUGAGGAUUAAUACAAUGAUAUAGUCUCUUGAAAAUCAAGAAUUCAAUUAC
This 255-nucleotide long non-coding RNA is filed under the name Physcomitrium patens. RNAcentral's name for it is "long non-coding RNA (PPAT_LNC007541)". Lineage: Eukaryota; Viridiplantae; Streptophyta; Bryopsida; Funariales; Funariaceae. The record is from RNAcentral.